AUUGAACGCUGGCGGCAUGCUUUACACAUGCAAGUCGAACGGCAGCGCGGGCUUCGGCCUGGCGGCGAGUGGCGAACGGGUGAGUAAUGCAUCUGAACGUGCCCAUUAGUGGGGGAUAGCCCGGCGAAAGCCGGAUUAAUACUGCAUACGACCUGAGGGUGAAAGCGGGGGACCGAAAGGCCCCGCGCUAUUGGAGCGGCCGAUGUCGGAUUAGCUAGUUGGUGGGGUAAAGGCUUACCAAGGCGACGAUCCGUAGCUGGUCUGAGAGGACGACCAGCCACACUGGGACUGAGACACGGCCCAGACUCCUACGGGAGGCAGCAGUGGGGAAUUUUGGACAAUGGGGGCAACCCUGAUCCAGCCAUGCCGCGUGCGGGAAGAAGGCCUUCGGGUUGUAAACCGCUUUUGUUCGGGAAGAAAUCCUCUGGGCUAAUACCCCGGGGGGAUGACGGUACCGGAAGAAUAAGCACCGGCUAACUACGUG
RNAcentral lists this ribosomal RNA (484 nucleotides) under uncultured bacterium. RNAcentral's name for it is "partial 16S ribosomal RNA". It matches the Rfam family "Bacterial small subunit ribosomal RNA", at positions 28 to 507 of the family's 1533-position model. The record is from RNAcentral.